CUUUAUGAUCUAAUUGUUGAAACUCUCGAGUGUAAGAGCAACCGCUAGGAUAAUCAACCGUCAUCGGUGAUUUAUUCUCAUUCCUUCCAGUCUCCACCCUUGAAUUGAAUCCACACACACAUGAGAGAGAGAACCGAGAUGACGCCGGGUCAGUGAUGAUGGUGUUCGGAUGAUGGCGGUGGUAGGUUGUGGACAAAGCGAAGCCCGACGAUGGCUUUAGGGUUCCGUCGCAAGUCAGUCAAGGGGUUAUUAGGAUUCGGGCAGAGCCAUACCUAGGGUUCUGAUUGACAAUUCCAGAGGUGUAAUCGGUGUUUAAAAGGACGGAUUGAAACAACCCCUCUUCAUCUCGCCAAAACCCUAAUCGAUUCGUCAACCACCACAUCUGCAGAAGAGAUCAACGUCAUCCACAGUGGCACCACAACGCUUUCACUGAGUUCGAGAAAGUGUUCGAUCGGAUUGGAUGUUCGUAGCAUGCUUCAUUCACGCGCAUAGGUAACACACGAUUGAUUAUACGUAUCAACAACGGAGAUUUGUAUGAGUUAACAACCUGAAAUUUGAUUAAUCGUGAUUACGGUGCCUUUCCAAGUUCCAAUGAUUGACAGGAGAAGACUUGAUUGCACCAUGCCAUUGUAGAGGCACCCAAAAAUAUGUCCACAGGUCAUGUCUUGACAAUUGGAGGUCUGCCAGGGAGGGGCUUGCUUUCUCUCACUGCACAGAAUGUAAGGCUGUGUUUAUACUACGUGCGAAUGUCCCACCAGUUCGCUGGUGGUUGAGGUUGAAAUUUCAGUUACUGGUUGCAAGAGACCAUGCAUUCAUUUUCAUCAUUGUCCAAAUGAUUGUUGCCUUCUUAGGUGUGUCGGUCUACAAAUUUUAUGGAGAUGAACCGAGACAAAGGUUAAGCUAAAUUUCAAAUGUUAUAAAUUCUCAUAGUUCCAUUUUUAUGUUACUUUCUACGAGUCAUCGUUAGUAAGGUGGCAAUUUUGACCUGCUACUUAGACUAGGGGUGUGGAGAGGUUUGGGUUGGGGGCAUUCCUCGACACUUGGCAGGUGUGGGCUCCACCAGUCCACACCCAAAAAAGUGGGGUGUGGAAGGGGCGUGGCCCGGCGUUGGGGUGCCAUGUGGCACCUAAUUUAACCAUUGCCAAACGAUCAUCAACACCCAGCCAACCAUUGCCAGACACGUCACCCCAGGCCAGCGCCCCACGCCAAACACUAUUGCCACUCCAAGCUGGCAACGCCCACCAAAACGCCAACCCGGGGUGAUGUACCCGGCGUUAAAGGGCCAACAACGCCCUUAGCCACGCCCACACCCACCAGUCUUAAGAACGGGUAAAAAAAACAUUGCUUAAAAGCAGGCUUGUUAAAUGCUUCAAACGGGUUAAAACUUGAAAGUGUAUUUUUAAUGCAUAAAUCACCCAAAUCGUUUUACUAAGAACAAAUUAGAUUAUUACUGAAAUAUUAUAGUUUUUAUAAUUAUAUUUGACUUCUUAAUUAUAUUUAAAAAAUAAUUUUGGAAAAAAGAAACGUUGUUUCUGGCCAUCAAACCUGGCAUGUUUCGACCCUCACCAAAAAUCCAAAUCAAUACUUCAAUACUACCAUUUCAUGUUUUAUUUCAAUAUUUUCAUGUAAUGGAUAUUUUUUUAAUAGUUGCAGGUCACAGUUGAUAUAACACCAGAUUUAAUUGUUACCUAUUUAGUGCACAAAAAUUAACACCAUUAUUUGUCUGUCAUCAUUUUGGGUUUGCCAAUGACUUUAUUCACUAUUUGGUUAUAUUUCAUAUUUUUAAGCCAAAUAGGCUUGUUAGAUUAAAGGUCUGGUACAAGAAAUAUGCUCUAUUACAACUGCUGGUAUCACAAGUUCAGGUCUUUGAUGCGGCUGGGUCUUGGAGCUUGUUCAGGCUGCAUUGCUAUGGCCGCUGAGAGCUGGACGCAUCAGAUUUUCAUAUGGACAUGGUUGCAUUAUUGGAACAAACUUGUUCUGUACAGUCUGCAGACUGCAAGUAUAAAGCUCCUGCUGCACUGGACGGGAGCUUCAGGCUGCUUUUAUAUGGCAGUUAGAAGCUGGUCGCAUCAAACUUUACUCCGGACCUGCAUUGGUAGGAUUUUUACUGGAAAAGGUCCUGGUUUAUACGUUUGGGCUGGUCAUCUUUUAAAGGCCCAGUUCUGGUUUAUUAGUCAGACUCAAAGGGACUAGGAUUGGGCUGUUAUACUUCGCCGUAAAGUGCUGAAAUACAGGGAUGUGCUGCUGUGUCUGGGAUGUUACGGGGGAAUGCCCCCUUGAUGGUGUAAUUUUUUUCAUUGUGUGUUAUAUAGUUUGCUGGGCGAUGCCCUUUAUCCAAAAAAAAGUUUAUAUUAAAAACCAA
Helianthus annuus (common sunflower) is the source of this 2362-nucleotide long non-coding RNA. RefSeq lists it as uncharacterized. The transcript is spliced from 6 exons. NCBI's taxonomy places the organism in Eukaryota, Viridiplantae, Streptophyta, Magnoliopsida, Asterales, Asteraceae. The record is from RefSeq and is a predicted model, not a curated record.